AGCUCCAAUAGCGUAUAUUAAAGUUGUUGCGGUUAAAAGCUCGUAGUUGGAUUUCUGUUGAAGACGGUCCGUCCGCGCUAUGCGUGUGUAUGAGGUUCGACUUUGGCAUCCUCCAGGGGAACGUUUCUGCUCUUCACUGAGUGGUGCGGAAUUCGGAACUUUUACUUUGAGGAAAUUAGAGUGUUCACAGCAGGCAAUCGCCUUGAAUAUAUUAGCAUGGAAUAAUAAUAUAGGACCCUGGUUCUAUUUUGUUGGUUUCUAGGACCAAGGUAAUGAUUAAUAGGGAUAAUUGGGGGCAUUUGUAUUGGCGCGUCAGAGGUGAAAUUCUUAGAUUGCGUUACGACAAACUACUGCGAAAGCAUUUGCCAAGGAUGUUUUCA
Molecule: ribosomal RNA, 380 nt
Filed under: uncultured eukaryote
Lineage: Eukaryota
Description: SSU rRNA
Rfam family: Eukaryotic small subunit ribosomal RNA
Source: RNAcentral